Long non-coding RNA from Alosa sapidissima (American shad), 981 nucleotides. RefSeq lists it as uncharacterized. NCBI's taxonomy places the organism in Eukaryota, Metazoa, Chordata, Actinopteri, Clupeiformes, Clupeidae. The transcript is spliced from 3 exons. The record is from RefSeq and is a predicted model, not a curated record.
AGGCUCAAACAAUCAAAUAAUAAUAAACAACUGCUACUACAAAUUAGAGACAGACGUCGGAACGGAUAACUAACGAUACAGAAAGAAAGAAGAAGAAUAUUAAUCAAAACAAGAAUAAUAUUGACCAAACAGAAAUCAAACACAUUUCUUUUGAUCGAAAAGCUUCAAUCCUGAUACACCACUUCCUGAACAAAGACCUCGUUGGACAAUCGUAACAGAUCGAAACAUAUUAAUCACUUGAAUCCUGACUGUUUUUUUGAUUACCCUUUCAACCACUCCUUGACCUACGCCUUGGAUACCUCGAAUUUCCUGCUGUGAUACCCUUCCCUGGACCAUUUGUGUCUACGCCUUGGAUACCUUGAAUUCCCUGCUGUGAUACCCUUCCCUGGACCAUCCUCAUAGCCAUUCUUCCUUGCAAUAUUCCCAGAAAUUGAACCCCUGCCUUCAUCCACUUUCCACCCAGUGACUGUGGUAGGAUCUGGGCAAAUACACCCACACCCACGGACUGUGACAUUAAGGAAUUACAUCCACCACUAUUUUUUUAUUUAAUUAUUCAUUUUGAGUGCACUCUCUUUUAUUUUUGGGGUUUAUGUUUAUUUUGUUAUUUUAAGUUCAGAGAUCUCAAGGGAAUUAUUUAAUGAAAAGUUACCUAAGUGCCGGCACUUCUGAUAAACUGAUAUUAUAGUUAUAUGUUAAGAAUUGUAUUUUUAUUGUAUAAGAAAAAGUGAUUUAACGCCAUAAGUAUAUAAAUCAAAUAAGUAGCAAUAGUAAUAAAUUGAAUAUAGAGUCAAAUAAAAUAGUAUAACAUAUAACGAUUAAAAUAGAUCAAUAAAUAAAGGGUAUAUCAAAUAGGGUUUAAAUAGACUAUAAAUAGAUUUUAAAUAGAAUAUCAAUAAUACAGUCAAAUGAAAUAGUAAAUAUAUAUAUAUUACAAUAGUUUUUUAUAUUUCCACUGCUACCUUAGAAUAGAAUAAUAAAUGA